RNAcentral lists this ribosomal RNA (414 nucleotides) under uncultured microorganism. RNAcentral describes it as "bacterial SSU rRNA". It matches the Rfam family "Archaeal small subunit ribosomal RNA", at positions 459 to 872 of the family's 1478-position model. The record is from RNAcentral.
CAGCCGCCGCGGUAAUACCGGCGGCCCGAGUGGCGGUCACUAUUAUUGGGCUUAAAACGUCCGUAGCCGGGUUGGGAAGUCCUCCGGGAAAUCUGGCCGCUUAACGGUCAGAAUGCCGGAGGAUACUCCCAGCCUAGGGAGCGGGAGAGGCCGAGGGGAUUCCCGGAGUAGGGGGGAAAUCCUAUAAUCCCGGGAGGGCCACCUGUGGCGAAGGCGCUCGGCUGGAACGCGUCCGACGGGGAGGGACGAAGGCCAGGGGAGCAAACCGGAUUAGAUACCCGGGUAGUCCUGGCUGUAAACGAUGCGGACGUUGUGUCGGACAAGCUAUGAGCUUGUCCGGUGCCGGAGGGAAACCGUUAAGUCCGCCGCCUGGGGAGUACGGCCGCAAGGCUGAAACUUAAAGGAAUUGGCGGG